Lingula anatina is the source of this 1007-nucleotide long non-coding RNA. Lineage: Eukaryota; Metazoa; Brachiopoda; Lingulata; Lingulida; Lingulidae. The record is from RefSeq and is a predicted model, not a curated record.
UUACCCAGGCUUAUGAGACAACACACGUGUCAGAGAUGCCAUGCAGUUGUAGUGAUGCGCAAGGUGGUUGUACUUCCAAGGGGGGCGUCUCGAUAGUCCGAAGGUUCAUUGGUCCGAAGGUUCAUUGGUCCGAAAAGUGGCUUUCCUUUCCUUGAACAGGCCGUUGGUUCAGAAAAAGGCGUGGGGCAACUGAAUGGACUGGGAGAAAAAGCAGGAGCAAGAAGAUUUCAGGUGACACUCAUUAUAGUCAUGUGACCCACUGCAGUGACCAAUGGAAUCAUCUUACAGAAGGUCACAUGGUGAGAUUUAUGAUCUGAUAAAAAGGUGGGCCAUGCUAUGCUGAAGGUGCUGUGUGCCACAUCAUAGUUGCAGUCUGACUUGUAGGAGGGGUAGAGUGAAAAGCAGAAGUUCACAUUCUCUCACUUGAAUGUGAUGAACAGAGGGGCUCUGCAAGAUACAGCAUCACUAGAAUGAGUUAGACAGUUCACACUUGUGCUGAGAGAACAGGUCUGGCAUACAGACAGGAACAGGCUCUGAAAAUCUCCAGCUGAAAAUCUCCCCAGAGUGUUAUGCCUACCUCUGAGAGCAUUACAAACUUUAAAGAUCAUACCGAUUCCUACGUGCUGUAAAUCUAUCAGUCUGCAUGCUGAUGUAAGGAAGGAGCAAAGAAUUAGAGGCAUGGAAUAUUAUGUUUUUUUCCUCGGCCUGCCUCCCUCUUCACCUAAAACAAAUGACCCACCAAGCACUUAAACACCCAGAUCAUACAUUCAAGCAUACGUGUGCAUGAACUAAAGAGUAAGUAAAAUUGUGUACAUGUAUGAACAGUUCUUGGUUAAACAGUGUAAACUCUAUUUAACAAUUAAGACAAAACACCAUACAUUUAUUGGAGAGGAAGUUGGUUUUCUUCUAUUAUAUAUAGAUUUUGUGUAUAGCAUACUUUUAUACAAUAUAUAGGCAAAUUAAAGCUAUAUUGAGAGUGAGCAGUUUAAUAUUAAAUAUUUGAUUUG